GAUGAACGCUGGCGGCGUGCCUAAUACAUGCAAGUCGAGCGAACAGACGAGGAGCUUGCUCCUCUGACGUUAGCGGCGGACGGGUGAGUAACACGUGGAUAACCUACCUAUAAGACUGGGAUAACUUCGGGAAACCGGAGCUAAUACCGGAUAAUAUAUUGAACCGCAUGGUUCAAUAGUGAAAGACGGUUUUGCUGUCACUUAUAGAUGGAUCCGCGCCGCAUUAGCUAGUUGGUAAGGUAACGGCUUACCAAGGCAACGAUGCGUAGCCGACCUGAGAGGGUAGGCGGCCACACGGAAACUAGCACAGGGUCCGGACGCCAACGGGAGGCAGCAGUGGGGAAUUUGCCGCAAUGGCGGAAAGCCGGACGGGGAAAGGCCGGGGGGGGAAUAAAGGUCUUGGGUUGGUAAACCUCUUUAAUUGGGAAAGAACAAAGGGGAAGUAACCUAGGCCCGUCUGGAGGGGACCAAAUAAAAAGGCAACGGCAAACUACGG
This 496-nucleotide ribosomal RNA is filed under the name uncultured bacterium. RNAcentral's name for it is "partial 16S ribosomal RNA". It matches the Rfam family "Bacterial small subunit ribosomal RNA", at positions 28 to 506 of the family's 1533-position model. The record is from RNAcentral.